GAGGGGGUAGUUAUAAAAUAACUUAAGGUUGUCAAUCUUAGACUUGCUGCGGCCCCCCUCA
This 61-nucleotide transfer RNA is filed under the name Sphaeroma serratum. RNAcentral's name for it is "tRNA-Asp". The record is from RNAcentral. Lineage: Eukaryota; Metazoa; Arthropoda; Malacostraca; Isopoda; Sphaeromatidae.